RNAcentral lists this ribosomal RNA (114 nucleotides) under Chinchilla lanigera (long-tailed chinchilla). The record is from RNAcentral. Lineage: Eukaryota; Metazoa; Chordata; Mammalia; Rodentia; Chinchillidae.
GUCUGCGGCCAGACCGUCCUGAGCGCCGACCUCGUCGGAUCUCGGAAGCUGAGCGGGGUCGGCCGGCUUAGUUCUGGGAUGGGAGACCGCCGGGGACACCGGGUGCUGCGGCCU